Molecule: transfer RNA, 69 nt
Filed under: Marmota monax (woodchuck)
Lineage: Eukaryota; Metazoa; Chordata; Mammalia; Rodentia; Sciuridae
Description: tRNA.Ala
Source: RNAcentral
GGAUAUAGCUCAGUUGGUAGAGUGCUUGCCUAGCAUACUACAAGGACCUGAGUUCAAUCCCUAGCACCA